CGCGCCUCCCAUUUUGAUGCCAACUUUCUCUAUGCUCAAGAGGUUUUUGCAUGAGAUUUUUUUACACCAAAGAGGUCUUCUCUCUCCCUUUCUUACAUCCAAAUCUAAUACGGUUUUGAUAAGAAAAAGGUUUUAAAAUUAGAUUUCAAAACAUUCCUUAUUAAGAAAAUCUAUUCUUAUCCAAAUCACUCCACAUGUCAACUUAUUUUUUUCUCCUUAUGUGUGUGACAUUUUGAG
This 237-nucleotide long non-coding RNA is filed under the name Elaeis guineensis (African oil palm). RNAcentral describes it as "long non-coding RNA (EGUI_LNC071409)". The record is from RNAcentral. Lineage: Eukaryota; Viridiplantae; Streptophyta; Magnoliopsida; Arecales; Arecaceae.